GAUGAACGCUGGCGGCGCGCCUAACACAUGCAAGUCGAACGGUUAAAGCACCUUUUAGGUGUGUAUAAAGUGGCGAACGGCUGAGUAACACGUGGGCAACCUGCCCUCCUCUUGGGGAUAGCCUCGGGAAACCGAGGAUAAUACCCGAUACUUCAAUGUGGCCGCAUGACGACAUUGAGAAAGCUUUUGCGGAGAAGGAUGGGCCCGCGGCCUGUUAGCUUGUUGGUGGGGUAGAGGCCUACCAAGGCAAUGAUGGGUAGCUGGGUUGAGAGACCGACCAGCCAGAUUGGGACUGAGACACGGCCCAGACUCCUACGGGAGGCAGCAGUGGGGAAUCUUGCACAAUGGGCGAAAGCCUGAUGCAGCGACGCCGCGUGCGGGAAGAAGGCCUUCGGGUUGUAAACCGCUUUCAGCAGGGACGAGGCGAAAGUGACGGUACCUGCAGAAGAAGCCCCGGCUAACUACGUGCCAGCAGCCGCGGUAAUACGUAGGGGGCAAGCGUUAUCCGGAUUCAUUGGGCGUAAAGCGCUCGUAGGCGGUCUGUUAGGUCGGGAGUUAAAUCCGGAGGCUCAACCUCCGCCCGCUCCCGAUACCGGCAGACUUGAGUUUGGUAGGGGAAGGUGGAAUUCCUAGUGUAGCGGUGGAAUGCGCAGAUAUUAGGAAGAACACCAGUGGCGAAGGCGGCCUUCUGGGCCAUAACUGACGCUGAGGGGCGAAAGCUAGGGGAGCAAACAGG
Molecule: ribosomal RNA, 736 nt
Filed under: uncultured Atopobium sp.
Lineage: Bacteria; Bacillati; Actinomycetota; Coriobacteriia; Coriobacteriales; Atopobiaceae
Description: bacterial SSU rRNA
Rfam family: Bacterial small subunit ribosomal RNA
Source: RNAcentral